UGGAAGGCUGAAGACACUAUCCCGAUUUCCUUUAGUCAGGAGUAAUUGUUAUUGUUUAUUCUAGAAUUGCAAAUUUUAAUUUUCUUUUACAAUCAAACUUCUUAAAGCAUUGUGUCUAUGCCCGAGGCACAAUGGCUAAUUUGUUAGGGGUUUGUCAUUUUCAUAAGCAUAUUCAUAUUCAAUAAAUCAAUGGACUUUUUGCAUUCAAAUAUUGCGCUCUUUAUCUUUCCUGUCAUCUUUCAAACAAGCUAUGUUUCUUGCAC
RNAcentral lists this long non-coding RNA (263 nucleotides) under Lathyrus oleraceus (garden pea). Its description in RNAcentral is "Pisum sativum (pea) long non-coding RNA (PSAT_LNC010920)". The record is from RNAcentral. Lineage: Eukaryota; Viridiplantae; Streptophyta; Magnoliopsida; Fabales; Fabaceae.